CCUACGGGAGGCAGCAGUCGAGAAUCAUGCACAAUGGGGGAAACCCUGAUGGAGCGACGCCGCGUGGGGGAAUGAAGGUCUUCGGAUUGUAAACCCCUGUCAUGUGGGAGCAAAUUAAAAAGAUAGUACCACAAGAGGAAGAGACGGCUAACUCUGUGCCAGCAGCCGCGGUAAUACAGAGGUCUCAAGCGUUGUUCGGAAUCACUGGGCGUAAAGCGUGCGUAGGCUGUUUCGUAAGGCGUGUGUGAAAGGCGCGGGCUCAACCCGCGGACGGCACAUGAUACUGCGAGACUAGAGUAAUGGAGGGGGAACCGGAAUGCUCGGUGUAGCAGUGAAAUGCGUAGAUAUCGAGAGGAACACUCGUGGCGAAGGCGGGUUCCUGGACAUUAACUGACGCUGAGGCACGAAGGCCAGGGGAGCGAAAAGGAUUAGAUACCCUAGUAGUC
RNAcentral lists this ribosomal RNA (446 nucleotides) under uncultured bacterium. RNAcentral describes it as "partial 16S ribosomal RNA". It matches the Rfam family "Bacterial small subunit ribosomal RNA", at positions 338 to 795 of the family's 1533-position model. The record is from RNAcentral.